CAUUUCUAUUGAAACACCACCUGUUGAUUUUGCUUAAAAUUUAGCAAUUGAUAACAGCUUUCGGUUGAUUGACAACGGCUUUUAGUUACAAAAUUGUCUGAAUAUGAACGUUGGCAAAUUAACAAGUGGUGUUUCAAUAGAAAUGGCAAAGACUAUCACUUACAGGCCAAAAAUAUAGGUUAUGUGUAACGUUAAGAAUUUUAAGUGUAAUGGUCCAGCAAUACGCAUAUGAUGGGGGAACGAGAAAUCGGCGGCAGUUUUGCAACCUCUGACGCGCUAAAAAAGCAAGAAAUUAGAUGAUGCCCACAUACCUACAUAUUCUGCCACCUAUCAGAAAGUUAAAAGACUUGGCCAACCAGUGACAAAAUCAGGCUGUCCAAUGUUUCGGCGGAAAAAAUGUGAAGCCUAACAUCACUAUAAUUGUCCCUAUUUUUCAUACGCUUUGAUGUGCUCGUGAAUAAAAACGCCCAGUUUUCAUGAAAA
Molecule: long non-coding RNA, 483 nt
Organism: Zophobas morio
Lineage: Eukaryota; Metazoa; Arthropoda; Insecta; Coleoptera; Tenebrionidae
Exons: 2
Source: RefSeq, a predicted model, not a curated record